GGGGAUGACACGGUUUCGACGGGUGAGCAGGUCAGCAGGCUGCGUGCCGGGGGGUUCCCAAUACCCCCGUGACCCUCAUUGGGAAAUCAGGAUAGUUGCCAACGACUACUCCUACGCGCUCGCGGCGUAACUACACCCGCUAGCUAUCUCUGUCCGGGCUCGCCUAUUGGCCCGGGCCGAGGUACCAUACUCAGAUAGGCUGCGCGCUGAGGUUCCGGCUGGACCGAUGCGCUAAGACCCAUCAGCCUGCACCUCUCGGGUCGCUCGUCAGCGGCUCACUCCCGAGGGGCUAAGCUUCUGAACAGUUGACUACGCAUCGUAGACGCCUGGACUGACAGUUCAUUCGGACCCGGGUUCGACUCCCGGCAUCUCCACUC
Molecule: transfer-messenger RNA, 377 nt
Filed under: Rubricoccaceae
Lineage: Bacteria; Pseudomonadati; Rhodothermota; Rhodothermia; Rhodothermales
Also listed under: 2 other names
Description: Rubricoccus sp012960515 Standard tmRNA
Rfam family: transfer-messenger RNA
About the family: Bacterial tmRNA, also known as 10Sa RNA or SsrA, is named for its dual tRNA and mRNA-like properties. Its role is to liberate the mRNA from a stalled ribosome.
Source: RNAcentral